UACGGAAGGGGGCUAGCGUUGCUCGGAAUGACUGGGCGUAAAGGGCGCGUAGGCGGUUUGCACAGUCAGAUGUGAAAAUUCCCGGGGCUUAACCUGGGGGCUGCAUUUGAUACGUGUGGGCUUAGUGAGGAAGAGGGUUGUGGAAUUCCCAGUGUAGAGGUGAAAAUUCGUAGAUAUUGGGAAGAACACCGGUGGCGAAGG
Molecule: ribosomal RNA, 201 nt
Filed under: uncultured bacterium
Lineage: Bacteria
Description: partial 16S ribosomal RNA
Rfam family: Bacterial small subunit ribosomal RNA
Source: RNAcentral